CCUACGGGAGGCAGCAGUAAGGAAUAUUGGUCAAUGGACGAAAGUCUGAACCAGCCAUGCCGCGUGGAGGAUGAAGGUCCUCUGGAUUGUAAACUUCUUUUAUAUGGGACGAAAAAAGGUCUUUCCAGAUCAACUGACGGUACCAUAUGAAUAAGCACCGGCUAACUCCGUGCCAGCAGCCGCGGUAAUACGGAGGGUGCAAGCGUUAUCCGGAUUCACUGGGUUUAAAGGGAGCGUAGGUGGGUUGGUAAGUCAGUGGUGAAAUCUCUGAGCUUAACUCGGAAACUGCCAUUGAUACUAUCAAUCUUGAAUACCGUGGAGGUCAGCGGAAUAUGUCAUGUAGCGGUGAAAUGCUUAGAUAUGACAUAGAACACCAAUUGCGAAGGCAGCUGGCUACACGAAUAUUGACACUGAGGCUCGAAAGCGUGGGGAUCAAACAG
This 440-nucleotide ribosomal RNA is filed under the name uncultured bacterium. RNAcentral's name for it is "bacterial SSU rRNA". It matches the Rfam family "Bacterial small subunit ribosomal RNA", at positions 338 to 775 of the family's 1533-position model. The record is from RNAcentral.